RNAcentral lists this ribosomal RNA (1482 nucleotides) under uncultured Bordetella sp. Its description in RNAcentral is "partial 16S-23S ribosomal RNA intergenic spacer". It matches the Rfam family "Bacterial small subunit ribosomal RNA". Lineage: Bacteria; Pseudomonadati; Pseudomonadota; Betaproteobacteria; Burkholderiales; Alcaligenaceae. The record is from RNAcentral.
GGUUCGAUCCUGGCUCAGAUUGAACGCUGGCGGGAUGCUUUACAUGCAAGUCGAACGGCAGCACGGACUUCGGUCUGGUGGCGGAGUGGCGAACGGGUGAGUAAUGUAUCGGAACGUGCCUAGUAGGGAUAACUACGCGAAAGCGUAGCCAAUACCGUGACACGCCCUUCGGGGGAAAGCGGGGACCUUCGGGCCUUCGCACUAUUAGAGCGGCUGAUAUCGGAUUAGCUAGUUGGUGGGGUAACGGCUCACCGCGGCGACGAUCCGUAGCUGGUUUGAGAGGACGACCAGCCACACUGGGACUGAGACACGGCCCAGGCUCCUACGGAGGCAGCAGUGUGGGAAUUUUUGACAAUGGGGAAACUUUGAUCCAGCCAUCCUUGAGCGUGUGCGAUGAAGGCUCGGGUUGUAGCAAUUUCUGGCAGAGCGAAACGGCACGGGAUAAUACCCUGUGCAACUGACGGUACCUGCAGAAUAGCGACCGCCAACUACGUGCCAGCAGCCGCGGUAAUACGUAGGGUGCAAGCGUUAAUCGGAAUUACUGGGCGUAAAGCGUGCGCAGGCGGUUCGGAAAGAAAAGAUGUGAAAUCCAGAGCUUAACUUUUGAACUGCAUUUUUAACUACCGAGCUAGAGUGUGUCAGAGGGAGGUGGAAUUCCGGUGUGUAGUAUGGAAAUGCGUAGAUAUGCGGAGAACACCGAUGGCGAAGGCAGCCUCCCGGGAUAACACUGACGCUCACAAAAAUGAAAGCGGGAGCAAACAGGAUUAGAUACCCUGGUAGUCCACGCCCUAAAACGAUGUCACCAGCUGUUGGGGCCUUCGGGCCUUGGUAGGUAGCGCAGCUAACGCGUGAAGUUGACCGCCUGGGGAGCAGCAUGGUCGCAAGAUUAAAACUCAAAGGAAUUGACGGGACUCCGCACACAAGUGGUGGAUGAUGUGACGACGGCUGCAACGCGAAAACCCUACCUACCCUUGACAUGUCUGGAAUCCCGAAGAGAUUUGGGAGUGCUCGCAAGAGAACCGGAACACAGGUGCUGCAUGGCUGUCGUCAGCUCGUGUCGUGGAUGUUGCUAGUCCCGCAACGAGCGCAACCCUUGGUCACGGUUGCUACAGAAGGGCACUCUAAUGAGAUCGCCGGUGACAAACCGGAGGAAGGUGGGGAUGACGUCAAGUCCUCAUGGCCCUUAUGGUAGGCUUCACACGUCAAGUACAAUGGUCGGGACAGAGGGUCGCCAACCCGCGAGGGGGGAGCCAAUCCCAGAAACCCGAUCGUAGUCCGGAUCAGAAGUCUGCAACUCGACUUCCGCAGUCGGAAUCGCUAGUAAUCGCGGAUCAGCAUGUCGCGGUGAAUACGUUCCCGGGUCUUGUACACACCGCCCGUCACACCAUGGGAGUGGGUUUUACCAGAAGUAGUUAGCCUUAACCGUAAGGAGGGCGAUUACCACGGUAGGAUUCGCGACUGGGGUGAAGUCGUAACAAGGUA